Molecule: ribosomal RNA, 406 nt
Filed under: uncultured bacterium
Lineage: Bacteria
Description: bacterial SSU rRNA
Rfam family: Bacterial small subunit ribosomal RNA
Source: RNAcentral
AUCAGGAAUCUUGCGCAAUGGGGGAAACCCUGACGCAGCGACGUCGCGUGAAGGACGAAGGCCUUCGGGUUGUAAACUUCUUUUAUGAGGGAAGAGCAAGGACGGUACCUCAUGAAUAAGCCCCGGCUAACUCCGUGCCAGCAGCCGCGGUAAUACGGAGGGGGCGAGCGUUGUCCGAAUUUAUUGGGCGUAAAGCGCGUGUAGGCGGAUUUUCAAGCCUGAGGUGAAAGGUUGGGGCUCAACCCCAUACAGUGCCUUGGGGACUGAAAGUCUGGAGGCCGGCAGAGGAGAGUGGAAUUCCUGGUGUAGCGGUGGAAUGCGUAGAGAUCAGGAAGAACACCCAUGGCGAAGGCAGCUCUCUGGGCCGGUACUGACGCUGAGACGCGAAAGCGUGGGGAGCGAACGG